UACGAAGGGGGCUAGCGUUGUUCGGAAUCACUGGGCGUAAAGCGCACGUAGGCGGGUCGUUAAGUCAGGGGUGAAAUCCCGAGGCUCAACCUCGGAACUGCCUUUGAUACUGGCGACCUUGGAGUCCGGGAGAGGUGAGUGGAACUCCGAGUGUAGAGGUGAAAUUCGUAGAUAUUCGGAAGAACACCAGUGGCGAAGGCGGCUCACUGGCCCGGUACUGACGCUGAGGCACGAAAGCGUGGGGAGCAAACAGG
Molecule: ribosomal RNA, 254 nt
Filed under: uncultured bacterium
Lineage: Bacteria
Description: partial 16S ribosomal RNA
Rfam family: Bacterial small subunit ribosomal RNA
Source: RNAcentral